Molecule: ribosomal RNA, 465 nt
Filed under: uncultured Klebsiella sp.
Lineage: Bacteria; Pseudomonadati; Pseudomonadota; Gammaproteobacteria; Enterobacterales; Enterobacteriaceae
Description: bacterial SSU rRNA
Rfam family: Bacterial small subunit ribosomal RNA
Source: RNAcentral
CCUACGGGGGGCUGCAGUGGGGAAUAUUGCACAAUGGGCGCAAGCCUGAUGCAGCCAUGCCGCGCGUGUGAAGAAGGCCUUCGGGUUGUAAAGCACUUUCAGCGGGGAGGAAGGCGUUAAGGUUAAUAACCUUGGCGAUUGACGUUACCCGCAGAAGAAGCACCGGCUAACUCCGUGCCAGCAGCCGCGGUAAUACGGAGGGUGCAAGCGUUAAUCGGAAUUACUGGGCGUAAAGCGCACGCAGGCGGUCUGUCAAGUCGGAUGUGAAAUCCCCGGGCUCAACCUGGGAACUGCAUUCGAAACUGGCAGGCUAGAGUCUUGUAGAGGGGGGUAGAAUUCCAGGUGUAGCGGUGAAAUGCGUAGAGAUCUGGAGGAAUACCGGUGGCGAAGGCGGCCCCCUGGACAAAGACUGACGCUCAGGAGCGAAAGCGUGGGGAGCAAACAGGAUUAGAUACCCUUGUAGUC